GGACGAGUGGUGCAGCCACAAAACUAUAUUCUGAGAAGAAGGAAAAGUGGUUGUUUUCCAAUUUCUGAGAAGAAGAAAGACUGGUGCAGCCAUACCGUUCGAUUGCUGCAGGUUAUUUAUUCGCCCACAACCGUUCGGAAAAAGACGACGCGAGAUCUCGUCCUCGGGCUACAAAUCCUACCCAAGACCAAACUUUCUCCGUCUCUCCUCUUACAAUUUGAGUAUAUUGUUGCUAUCUGUUCUUUUUUGGCAUAUGUCCUCCCCUGAAGCGUGUCAUUUGGAUUCCAUGGAAGGAGAAGGAAUGUUGUGGGAGAUGGAUUGUACAUCUCUUUGAGUCUGUUUCUCUAAGUUUUUACGGGUUCAAGUUUGUGUGGCAAUGUAUUGCAAGAAUGGAAGACAACUAUAAUUUGGAUUGGAUUUCUUUAGUUUCUUUUUCUGGUGCCUAGAUUGAAAUAGCUAUUUGUUUAGUUUGGGUUUGCUGUAUCACGACAUGU
Prunus avium (sweet cherry) is the source of this 494-nucleotide long non-coding RNA. RefSeq lists it as uncharacterized. Lineage: Eukaryota; Viridiplantae; Streptophyta; Magnoliopsida; Rosales; Rosaceae. The record is from RefSeq and is a predicted model, not a curated record.